CAGCAGCCACGGUAAUACCAGCAGCCCAAGUGGUGGUCGCGAUUAUUGGGCCUAAAGCGCUCGUAGCCGGGCCGGUAAGUCCCUUGUGAAAUCGGACGGCCUAACCGUUCGGCGUGCAAGGGAUACUGUCGGUCUUGAGGCCGGGAGACGUCCGAGGUACUCCGGGGGUAGCGGUGAAAUGUUCUGAUCCUCGGGGGACCACCGGUGGCGAAGGCGUUCGACGAGAACGGGCCUGACGGUGAGGGGCGAAGGCUAGGGGAGCAAACGGGAUUAGAUACCCGCGUAGUCCCUGUCUCUUAUA
This 301-nucleotide ribosomal RNA is filed under the name uncultured bacterium. RNAcentral describes it as "partial 16S ribosomal RNA". It matches the Rfam family "Archaeal small subunit ribosomal RNA", at positions 459 to 759 of the family's 1478-position model. The record is from RNAcentral.